Molecule: ribosomal RNA, 466 nt
Filed under: uncultured bacterium
Lineage: Bacteria
Description: partial 16S ribosomal RNA
Rfam family: Bacterial small subunit ribosomal RNA
Source: RNAcentral
UGGGGAAUUUUGGACAAUGGGCGAAAGCCUGAUCCAGCAAUGCCGCGUGUGUGAAGAAGGCCUUCGGGUUGUAAAGCACUUUUGUCCGGAAAGAAAUCCUUGGCUCUAAUACAGUCGGGGGAUGACGGUACCGGAAGAAUAAGCACCGGCUAACUACGUGCCAGCAGCCGCGGUAAUACGUAGGGUGCAAGCGUUAAUCGGAAUUACUGGGCGUAAAGCGUGCGCAGGCGGUUUGCUAAGACCGAUGUGAAAUCCCCGGGCUCAACCUGGGAACUGCAUUGGUGACUGGCAGGCUAGAGUAUGGCAGGAGGGGGGUAGAACUUCCACGUGUAGCAGUGAAAUGCGUAGAGAUGUGGAGGAAUACCCGAUGGCGAAGGCAGCCCCCUGGGCCAAUACUGACGCUGCAUGCACGAAAGCGUGGGGAGCAAACAGGAUUAGAUACCCUGGUAGUCCACGCCCUAAAGCG